ACUUAGGUAGUUUAAACUAAAAUAUCGAUUUGUGGUGUCGAGGAUGUAAAACUUUACCUUAGGUA
This 65-nucleotide transfer RNA is filed under the name Panesthia strelkovi. RNAcentral's name for it is "tRNA-His". Lineage: Eukaryota; Metazoa; Arthropoda; Insecta; Blattodea; Blaberidae. The record is from RNAcentral.